AACUUUUAACAAUGGAUCUCUUGGCUCUCGCAACGAUGAAGAACGCAGCGAAAUGCGAUAUGUAGUGUGAAUUGCAGAAUUCAGUGAAUCAUCGAAUCUUUGAACGCACAUUGCGCUCUCUGGUACUCCGGGGAGCAUGCUCGUUUCAGAAUCAUUACAAUCUCAAAGCCUUUCGAGCUUGCCUCGGCUGUGCUUUGGAUUUUGGACCGUAGUUUGGCCCAUUGGGCCAAUGGUUCGAAAGUGAUUGUGUGCGCGUCGUACCCUAGGGCUGACGUCUCAAGUGCAACAGAUGUUUUUUCAUUCGUUAACGCUUGGGCACGCCAGACCAUUGACGGGUCUUGUCUGCGUUUACCUUUACCUUUUUAACAGGGGUCGUCGGUGUAAACCGAUGGCCUCUGAAGACUUGGUCUGAAAUCGAGCAAGAAAACCCGCUGAACUUAAGCAUAUCAAUAAGCGGAGGCU
This 462-nucleotide unclassified non-coding RNA is filed under the name uncultured Powellomyces. RNAcentral's name for it is "sequence contains ITS2". The stretch from base 1 to 154 matches the Rfam family "5.8S ribosomal RNA". The record is from RNAcentral. Lineage: Eukaryota; Fungi; Chytridiomycota; Chytridiomycetes; Spizellomycetales; Powellomycetaceae.